This 311-nucleotide ribosomal RNA is filed under the name uncultured bacterium. RNAcentral's name for it is "bacterial SSU rRNA". It matches the Rfam family "Bacterial small subunit ribosomal RNA", at positions 32 to 353 of the family's 1533-position model. The record is from RNAcentral.
AAUCAACGCUGGCGGCGUGCCUAACACAUGCAAGUCGAACGAGAAAGUGGAGCAAUCCAUGAGUAAAGUGGCGCACGGGUGAGUAACACGUGACUAACCUACCCUUGAGUGGGGGAUAACCUAGGGAAACCUGGGCUAAUACCGCAUAAUACCUACGGGUCAAAGGAGCAAUUCGCUUUAGGAGGGGGUCGCGGCAGAUUAGUUAGUUGGCGGGGUAAUGGCCCACCAAGACGAUGAUCNGUAUCCGGCCUGAGAGGGCGCACGGACACACUGGAACUGAAACACGGUCCAGACUCCUACGGGAGGCAGCA